Molecule: unclassified non-coding RNA, 158 nt
Filed under: soil metagenome
Description: partial internal transcribed spacer 1
Source: RNAcentral
UAAUAAGUGUUUUAUGGCACUUUUUAAAUCCACAUCCACCUUGUGUGCAAUGUCAGUCGGUUUUCUUUUUCGUCAAGAAAAAAAGGAUCGACCAAACAUCAACUUAUCCUAAUUGAACUUUUGUCUGAAAACUAUUAUGAAUAAACUAAUUCAAAAUA